UCCCUGGUGGCUUAGAUGGUAAAGCAUCUGCCUGCAAUGCAGGAGACCCGGGUUUGAUCCCUGGGUCGGGAA
This 72-nucleotide transfer RNA is filed under the name Bos taurus (domestic cattle). It matches the Rfam family "tRNA". Rfam says of the family: Transfer RNA (tRNA) molecules are approximately 80 nucleotides in length. Their secondary structure includes four short double-helical elements and three loops (D, anti-codon, and T loops). Further hydrogen bonds mediate the characteristic L-shaped molecular structure. tRNAs have two regions of fundamental functional importance: the anti-codon, which is responsible for specific mRNA codon recognition, and the 3' end, to which the tRNAs corresponding amino acid is attached (by aminoacyl-tRNA synthetases). tRNAs cope with the degeneracy of the genetic code in two manners: having more than one tRNA (with a specific anti-codon) for a particular amino acid; and 'wobble' base-pairing, i.e. permitting non-standard base-pairing at the 3rd anti-codon position. Lineage: Eukaryota; Metazoa; Chordata; Mammalia; Artiodactyla; Bovidae. RNAcentral also lists the same sequence under 2 other names. The record is from Rfam by way of RNAcentral.